Non-coding RNA from Favolaschia claudopus, 97 nucleotides. Lineage: Eukaryota; Fungi; Basidiomycota; Agaricomycetes; Agaricales; Mycenaceae. The record is from the annotation of a GenBank genome assembly.
GGCCGCCUGGCGAAAUGGCAUCGCGUCUGACUACGAUGAGAUUAUUGAAUGCUCCUACGUAAUCAGGAGAUUGCAGGUUCGACCCCUGCGGUGGUCA